ACGCACAUUGCGGUCCACGGAUCUCGUUCCCGGACCACGCCUGGCUGAGGGUCGUUUAUAAAAACGAACCCGACUGCUCUCUCGCAAGAGAGAGCGUUGAUCUGGGCGCUCGUGUCUCUAUCUCCUUACUCUUCUUCGAAGUGUAUAGCAGUGCGAGCACGUCGCCUUAAACGAAACGCAAGAAAAAAGAUGAAUUCGUUCGUCUAGCUGGCGAGCGCGCUUACCGCUUGGAGAGUUCUCUCGUGGUCGUCUGCGCGAGAGAGACACUUAGCACUCUGUGUUCGUGUCUCUCGAGCUUAGCGGCGGCGGCGAGUACUUCCGAUCGUUCUGCGUCGAGUCCCGGAGCUUCUCGACUCGUCGAGCAGCGGACCGACGUCUAGCACACGAUCAGGCUCGUCCAUGAUUCGGUAGCUGAAUGCGCGCGCGCUUUUACACGCACACGCACACGCACGCACACUCGUUGUGUGUGCUGUGCUGCUGCGUGUAUAAUGGCUAGCUCGGAUCAUUGCGUGAAUGAGUCUUUUUUUCUCGAUCGACGACCUCAGACCGGGCAAGAC
This 557-nucleotide ribosomal RNA is filed under the name Trichogramma embryophagum. RNAcentral's name for it is "partial 18S ribosomal RNA". Lineage: Eukaryota; Metazoa; Arthropoda; Insecta; Hymenoptera; Trichogrammatidae. The record is from RNAcentral.